AUUUAAAUAGUUUAUAAAAAUAAUGAUUUGUGGAAUCAUAGAUAUACUUUAGUAUUUUAAAUA
This 63-nucleotide transfer RNA is filed under the name Erotylidae sp. BMNH 1274391. Its description in RNAcentral is "tRNA-His". The record is from RNAcentral. Lineage: Eukaryota; Metazoa; Arthropoda; Insecta; Coleoptera; Erotylidae.